This 2372-nucleotide ribosomal RNA is filed under the name human gut metagenome. Its description in RNAcentral is "bacterial LSU rRNA". It matches the Rfam family "Bacterial large subunit ribosomal RNA", at positions 559 to 2925 of the family's 2925-position model. The record is from RNAcentral.
UGCGCCCACGAGCAGUCGGAGCAACUUUCAGUUGUGACGGCGUGCCUUUUGUAGAAUGAGCCAGCGAGUCGCUGGCGCGGGGCGAGGUUAACCGAAAGGGAGCCGGAGCGAAAGCGAGCCUUAACAGGGCGACUUGAGUCCCGCGCCGCGGACGCGAAGCCGGGUGAGCUAUCCGUGGGCAGGCUGAAGCGGGGGUAAGACCCCGUGGAGGGCCGAACGCACGUCGGUUGAAAACGGCGGCGAUGACCUGCGGAUAGGGGUGAAAGGCCAAUCAAACCCGGAGAUAUCUCGUUCUCCCCGAAAUAGCUUUAGGGCUAGCGUCGCGCGUUCACCGCCGGAGGUAGAGCACCGGAUGGACGAGGGGGCUUCGCCGCCUACCGAAUCCAACCGAACUCCGAAUGCCGGCGGCCCAGAGCGCGGCAGUCAGAGCAUGUGGGCUAAGCUGUGUGCUCGAGAGGGAAACAGCCCGGACCGCCCGCUAAGGUCCCCAAGUUCCAGCCGAGUGGCAAAGGAUGUGCGUCCGCCCAGACAACCAGGAUGUUGGCUUAGAAGCAGCCAUGCAUUCAAAGAGUGCGUAACAGCUCACUGGUCGAGUGGACAUGCGCCGACAAUACACGGGGCUAAGCUGGACACCGAAGCGGCGGGAUUUUAAUUCAUUAGAAUCGGUAGGGGAGCUUCCCAUGGGCGGAGAAGCCGGAGGGCGACCGACGGUGGAGCGCAUGGGAGUGAGAAUGCUGGCAUGAGUAGCGAGAGACGAGAGAGUAACUCGUCCGCCGUGAACCCGAGGUUUCCUGGGCAAGGCUAAUCCUCCCAGGGUCAGUCGGGGGCUAAGGCGAGGCCGGUAGGCGUAGCCGACGCGCAGCAGGCAGACAUUCCUGCACCGCGCACGCGGCGCUACGACCGACGGGGCGACGGAUGGGGGUGGCUCGGCGGGGUUCUGGACGUCCCCGUGAUGGAGCGCGGCCCGCGGACCAGGGAAAUCCGGUCCGCAGAAGGGCGAGGCUCCGGACGAAGCGACUGAGCGAAGCGAGUGAGCCCGAGGUCCCUAGAAAAACCCCUAGGCAGGCGCGUGCGCGCCCGUACCGCAAACCGACACAGGUGGGUGGGUAGAACAUACCGAGGCGAUCGGGUCAACCAUGGUCAAGGAACUCGGCACAAUGGCCCCGUAACUUCGGGAGAAGGGGUGCCCGCGCGUACGUGAACCGGCUUGCCCGGGGAGCGGAGGCGGGCCGCAGUGGAGAGGCCCAAGCGACUGUUUACCAAAAACACAGGACUCUGCAGAAGCCGCAAGGCGACGUAUAGGGUCUGACGCCUGCCCGGUGCCGGAAGGUCACGCGGAGGAGUUAGCCGAUUCGGCGAAGCCCCGAAGCCAAGCCCCGGUAAACGGCGGCCGUAACUAUAACGGUCCUAAGGUAGCGAAAUUCCUUGUCGGGUAAGUUCCGACCUGCACGAAAGGCGCAACGACUUGGGCGCUGUCUCGACCAUGGACCCGGUGAAAUUGCACUGGUCGUGAAGAUGCGACUUACCCGCGGAAGGACGGAAAGACCCCGUGAACCUUCACUGCAGCUUGGCAUUGGCCGCUGGUCCCGCGUGUAGAGGAUAGGCAGGAGGCUGAGAUCCGGAGGCGCCAGCCCCCGGGGAGCCGCCCUUGGAAUACUGCCCUCGCGCGACCGGCGUCCUAACCCGAGGCCGUCAACCGGCUCGGGGACCGUGCCAGGCGGGCAGUUUGACUGGGGCGGUCGCCUCCUAAAGGGUAACGGAGGCGCGCGAAGGUCCGCUCGGGACGGUCGGCAACCGUCCUUUUGAAUGCAAGAGUACAAGCGGGCUUGACUGCGAGGCCCACAAGCCGAGCAGGUGCGAAAGCAGGCUCUAGUGAUCCGGCGGCCCCGAGUGGGUGGGCCGUCGCUCAACGGAUAAAAGGUACUCCGGGGAUAACAGGCUGAUCUUGCCCAAGAGUCCACAUCGACGGCAAGGUUUGGCACCUCGAUGUCGGCUCAUCGCAUCCUGGGGCUGUAGCAGGUCCCAAGGGUUGGGCUGUUCGCCCAUUAAAGCGGUACGCGAGCUGGGUUCAGAACGUCGUGAGACAGUUCGGUCCCUAUCCUCCGUGGGCGCAGGAGAAUCGAUGGAGGCUGCCCCCAGUACGAGAGGACCGGGGUGGACGCACCUCCGGUGAACCGGUUGUCGACCAACGGCACGGCCGGGUAGCCGCGUGCGGCGCGGAUAACCGCUGAAGGCAUCUAAGCGGGAAGCCGUUCCAGGGAUUAGUUCUCCUUCCGGUAAGGGCCCAGGUAGACUACCUGGUCGAUAGACGGCAGGUGCAAGGACGGCGACGUCCUCAGCCGAGCCGCACUAAUCGCCCGAGCUCUUCCGGA